This 420-nucleotide non-coding RNA is filed under the name Drosophila virilis. RNAcentral's name for it is "Eukaryotic large subunit ribosomal RNA". It matches the Rfam family "Eukaryotic large subunit ribosomal RNA", at positions 2118 to 2590 of the family's 3401-position model. Lineage: Eukaryota; Metazoa; Arthropoda; Insecta; Diptera; Drosophilidae. The record is from Rfam by way of RNAcentral.
UAGGAACCGUGAGAUUAAGCCAUCGCGGCAGGUGCUCACGUUAAGCCCACUGACUUUCAUGUCCCUAUCUACUAUCUAGCGAAACCACAGCCAAGGGAACGGGCUUGGAAUAAUUAGCGGGGAAAGAAGACCCUUUUGAGCUUGACUCUAAUCUGGCAGUGUAAGGAGACAUAAGAGGUGUAGAAUAAGUGGGAGAUAUUAGACUUCGGUUUGGUAUCGACAAUGAAAUACCACUACUCUUAUUGUUUCCUUACUUACUUGAUUAAAUGGAACGUGUAUCAUUUCCUAGCCAUUAUACGGAUAUAAUUAUUAUGUCUUAUGGUAUUGGGUUUUGAUGCAAGCUUCUUGAUCAAAGUAUCACGAGUUUGUUAUAUAAUCGCAAACAAAUUCUUUAAUGAGAGAAUGCAUUUAUGUAUUAUU